UACGAAGGGUGCAAGCGUUACUCGGAAUUACUGGGCGUAAAGCGUGCGUAGGUGGUUUGUUAAGUCUGAUGUGAAAGCCCUGGGCUCAACCUGGGAAUUGCAUUGGAUACUGGCAGGCUAGAGUGCGGUAGAGGGUAGUGGAAUUCCCGGUGUAGCAGUGAAAUGCGUAGAGAUCGGGAGGAACAUCCGUGGCGAAGGCGACUACCUGGACCAGCACUGACACUGAGGCACGAAAGCGUGGGGAGCAAACAGGG
Molecule: ribosomal RNA, 254 nt
Filed under: uncultured bacterium
Lineage: Bacteria
Description: partial 16S ribosomal RNA
Rfam family: Bacterial small subunit ribosomal RNA
Source: RNAcentral